UUAUUAUUUCACAAAUGACCCAGCCCUGGUAAAGCUAAAGGGAUUUAUAAAAAUCAGUUACAAUUGACUGACAGCUGAUAAUUACAACAAUAUACAUGGACAUGUAUAUUGAGUAUACAUAUAUUAUCAAUAGCAGUCCAUUUCAACAUAUAAGUGCUGCCUACUGGGCUUGUACCUAGCUUCGAGGAGGGCAAAACUCAGGUAGAGAGUUAAUUAGAUUGAUACAAAAAAUUCCGAAAGGUGUUGCCAAAUACAGCUAACGUUAUCCGAAGAAAAUCUUUAGUAUUUUGUCAAUUUCAAAGUAAUUCCAUAAUUGCGACCAUAACAAUGAUAAUUUCAAAUGAAAAGAAGUACUGAAAACUGAGUUAGUGAUAAACUUGGGGUGGAAGCUUCUGCCAGCAGUGGAAAUGACCUAGUGGUUGUAAAUAAACUCACCAUAGAUACAAUCAUUAACAAUAAGGCUACAAAAGACCAAGUUUUGACACUCGCAUUAAACAUUAAACGUGUCUUAUAUUAUUCGAGGUUGCAGAGAAUUGAGAAUCCAAAUUUAUGACAAGUUUGGCGAAAUAAAUAAAGGCAACAGCAGUAUACAUACCGGUGUUAAAUUAGUCAUGCCAACAUAGCUUAUAUUGAAAAGAUCUACUCGUAACUUUAAAAUAGUUUUGUAAUUUUUAAAAGCUGUUACUGGUGUGAUUGUUGAAGUUUUUAUUUUUCAUCUUCGAGGCAUACCUUAUACCUCGCUUGCAGUGAGUAUACAAUUUCUCGUAGCUACUAUAAGAUGAUUAUUUACACCCUAAAUAAACUCAUCAUAGAUACCAGGA
This 821-nucleotide long non-coding RNA is filed under the name Mytilus galloprovincialis (Mediterranean mussel). The record is from RNAcentral. Lineage: Eukaryota; Metazoa; Mollusca; Bivalvia; Mytilida; Mytilidae.